AGGACACCUCCCAGCCAAGACAGGUGAUGAGCACAAGAGUACUGUGGCACUGGGCAGCAGAUAAAAUUCUCCUAUAAAGUAUCAAGAAGAGCUCUGCUAUAAGCAUGAUGUGCACCUUGUAGAAAAUAGUUGUGUUUUCCCCUGCCCUCGAUUGAUGCUCAUGGACUUCUUUUUGGUCUAUCUUAGUGUGAUAUCUUGAUACAAGUGUGAAUAAUAAAUUCAGUUUGUGUA
Long non-coding RNA from Gavialis gangeticus (Gharial), 231 nucleotides. RefSeq lists it as uncharacterized. The record is from RefSeq and is a predicted model, not a curated record. Lineage: Eukaryota; Metazoa; Chordata; Crocodylia; Gavialidae. The transcript has 2 exons.